Molecule: long non-coding RNA, 208 nt
Filed under: Sorghum bicolor (sorghum)
Lineage: Eukaryota; Viridiplantae; Streptophyta; Magnoliopsida; Poales; Poaceae
Description: long non-coding RNA (SBIC_LNC016039)
Source: RNAcentral
GCGUAUUGGGUACAAUCGCAGAUAAAUAUGGUAUAAGCACCACGCCUACACAAUAUCUAUCAUUUACCCAUGGAUCCAAUGGAUAAACGCUAUACGAUCCUAAGCAUGUAUAUAGAUCCAAUCUAACUAAGCCAAGUACAUAACUAUGAUAAACUAAGAACAAUAUAAUCUUGAAUAUAAGCAAGUAGAGCAAAGUCAUAAGCAAUAU